This is a non-coding RNA of Ornithorhynchus anatinus (platypus), 138 nucleotides long. The record is from Rfam. Lineage: Eukaryota; Metazoa; Chordata; Mammalia; Monotremata; Ornithorhynchidae.
CCCCUCUCAGGAUUGCAGCUGGGGAGUUUCCAGGACUCUACCAGUCUCGGCUAUGGGAGGGAGAGUCAAGCAGAGGUAUACCCAUUCUAUUCCUAGUGUGGGCAGUGGCUAGUGAGUGGAAGGCAAUAUGCUACAAGU